Molecule: ribosomal RNA, 253 nt
Filed under: uncultured bacterium
Lineage: Bacteria
Description: partial 16S ribosomal RNA
Rfam family: Bacterial small subunit ribosomal RNA
Source: RNAcentral
UACGAAGGGGGCUAGCGUUGCUCGGAUUGACUGGGCAUAAAGGGCGCGUAGGCGGUUCGUACAGUCAGACGUGAAAUUCCUGGGCUCAACCUGGGGGCUGCGUUUGAUACGUGCGGACUUGAGUGCGGAAGAGGGUCGUGGAAUUCCCAGUGUAGAGGUGAAAUUCGUAGAUAUUGGGAAGAACACCGGUGGCGAAGGCGGCGACCUGGUCCGAUACUGACGCUGAGGCGCGAAAGCGUGGGGAGCAAACAGG